Molecule: long non-coding RNA, 953 nt
Organism: Fukomys damarensis (Damara mole-rat)
Lineage: Eukaryota; Metazoa; Chordata; Mammalia; Rodentia; Bathyergidae
Exons: 3
Source: RefSeq, a predicted model, not a curated record
GGGCUGCGGGCACGCAGGGAACCGCGAGGCUCGGCCCGGGCCCCCUGGAGACCCUGUCUCUGCAUGUCGGACGGUGACGCUUUACUCCUGAGUUACAGCUUCGCCUCUGGCUUUAAAAGUCGCACGAGUCUAGUAGCGUGCAGUAAUUUGACCUUUUAACGUUAAUGGUCAGCAGAAUUGACUUUUUCGUAUGAAAACUGUGAUUCGAAGCGAUCGUUUGACUUCAUGUCACCAGCGGCACAGUCAGGAGACUUCGCUCCCCGAGGAACUCCUUGGCGCUGUCCCUUUCUGGCCACAUCCUCCUUCGCGCUAACUUUUGCCAGUCACCGACCUGUUCUCCGUUGUUACAUUGUGUCUUUGAGAGAAGGUCGCAUCCACGGAAUUACGCACCGAAUUAGGGACGUGUAACACAGGAAACCGAUUUGGACAUGCAUUAUUACGGCUUCGAUACUCAUCCGUGUAGUAGCAGGAACUAUGACUCACUGCAGCUGCCUGGCAACCCUAGAGAGGAUGGGACUGCAGACCACUAUCCUGGGAAAAGGUGAACAUUCAAAAUUUGAAGGAGGGUUUCAACUAAAUGCACGUUGCUUUCACACCAUCUUAAGGCCAAGAAACUAGCAGAUUGCGAAGUCCACAAUUCAGUGUGUUCUGGGGAGAGGACAGAAGGAAGCCAAGGACUUCAGCACCACCUACUGCAGCCAAAAUAAGGUCACCAGCAUUUGGAAGUAUUUUGGCCACACUGCCUCCCACAUUAAUGCAGUUUGAAGUGCAGUUUGAAGUGCAGUUCUCCUCUCACCCUCCUCCCUCAAGUGCUCUGGUGCCUUGGGGAAGCCCGGCUCAGUGAGGACAGAGUCAGAGCCCCAGGCUGGGUCUUCAGAGAGGGCGCCACAAGAGAAGCAGCCCUGGGAGGGCAAGCUUCCGGGAGCUCCUAGAACACCAGCUGUCGUUCAACG